RNAcentral lists this ribosomal RNA (449 nucleotides) under uncultured bacterium. Its description in RNAcentral is "partial 16S ribosomal RNA". It matches the Rfam family "Bacterial small subunit ribosomal RNA", at positions 30 to 507 of the family's 1533-position model. The record is from RNAcentral.
CGAACGCUGGCGGCAUGCCUAACACAUGCAAGUCGCACGGGGGGGCUUCGGCCUCCCAGUGGCGGACGGGUGAGGAACGCGUAGGGACCUGUCGAGGGGUGGGGGAUAACCGCGGGAAACUGCGGCUAAUACCGCAUGACGCCGCGGCGUGACAGCCGGGGCCAAAGGCGAAAGCCGCCCGCCGAGGGGCCUGCGUCCGAUUAGCUGGUUGGCGGGGUAGCGGCCCACCAAGGCGUCGAUCGGUAGCUGGUCUGAGAGGGUGAUCAGCCACACCGGGACUGAGACACGGCCCGGACUCCUACGGGAGGCAGCAGUGGGGAAUAUUGGACAAUGGGCGCAAGCCUGAUCCAGCAAUGCCGCGUGGGUGAAGAAGGUCUUCGGAUUGUAAAGCCCUUUCGGCGGGGACGAUGGUGACGGUACCCGCAGAAGAAGCCCCGGCUAACUUCGUG